GAUGAACGCUGGCGGCGUGCCUAAUACAUGCAAGUCGAGCGAACAGACGAGGAGCUUGCUCCUCUGACGUUAGCGGCGGACGGGUGAGUAACACGUGGAUAACCUACCUAUAAGACUGGGAUAACUUCGGGAAACCGUAGCUAAUACCGGAUAAUAUAUUGAACCGCAUGGUUCAAUAGUGAAAGACGGUUUUGCUGUCACUUAUAGAUGGAUCCGCGCCGCAUUAGCUAGUUGGUAAGGUAACGGCUUACCAAGGCAACGAUGCAUAGCCGACCUGAGAGGGUGAUCGGCCACACUGGAACUGAGACACGGUCCAGACUCCUACGGGAGGCAGCAGUAGGGAAUCUUCCGCAAUGGGCGAAAGCCUGACGGAGCAACGCCGCGUGAGUGAUGAAGGUCUUCGGAUCGUAAAACUCUGUUAUUAGGGAAGAACAAAUGUGUAAGUAACUAUGCACGUCUUGACGGUACCUAAUCAGAAAGCCACGGCUAACUACGUG
RNAcentral lists this ribosomal RNA (497 nucleotides) under uncultured bacterium. RNAcentral's name for it is "partial 16S ribosomal RNA". It matches the Rfam family "Bacterial small subunit ribosomal RNA", at positions 28 to 507 of the family's 1533-position model. The record is from RNAcentral.